AUGCCGGAAACAUUACACAAGCAUAAAGCCAGUGAAGAUGGCAAACAAAGUGUUGAAGCUGUGGAGGCCCAUCUGAUUGAUCCGCAAGAAAAGGUCGAAGGAAGUACCAGUGUAGAUACCAAGAAGAGCUUAUUCAAGAAUUGGCCAUUGAUGUCUUCCAUAAUUGUUUAUUGCAUCUUCUCCUAUCAUGACAUGGCCUAUACAGAGGAGGAUGCCCGAGCUGACCAGGAGGACACCCUUCUGCACCUCGGCCACCACACAAGGUUAACACUUGGAGACUCUCGAGCUAUGAGCAGCGAGCUGUUGCUGCCGCCGCCGGAUGCUCCAGCGGCGAAACCUCCGUCGAUUCCCUCCACGGCCACUACCACUACCCUAGCUACCGCCGCCGACGGAACCACCACCAUAUCCUUGCUCGGCCAAGACCAGCUCCUUGAGAUCUUCCUCCGCCUGCCGAGCCUGCCGGCCCUCGUCCGCUCCACGCUCACUUGCCGCUCGUGGCUUGGCGCCGUCCGCUCCUCUCGCUCCUUCUGCAACCUCUUCCACGCCCUCCACCUAGCGCCCCUCAUCGCGAUCUUCCUCGAUGUCGACGAAGGCAAUGUCCGCUUGUUCGCCCCCUUCAGCCGCUCAGAUCCCAACGUCAAUAAGGACAUUACAUUGGGAGAUUAA
Molecule: ribosomal RNA, 666 nt
Filed under: Triticum aestivum (bread wheat)
Lineage: Eukaryota; Viridiplantae; Streptophyta; Magnoliopsida; Poales; Poaceae
Description: partial small subunit ribosomal RNA
Source: RNAcentral